UAGGGAAUCUUCCACAAUGGGCGAAAGCCUGAUGGAGCAACGCCGCGUGUGUGAUGAAGGGUUUCGGCUCGUAAAACACUGUUCUAAGAGAAGAAUGACAUUGAGAGUAACUGUUCAAUGUGUGACGGUAUCUUUCCAGAAAGGAACGGCUAAAUACGUGCCAG
Molecule: ribosomal RNA, 164 nt
Filed under: uncultured bacterium
Lineage: Bacteria
Description: partial 16S rRNA
Rfam family: Bacterial small subunit ribosomal RNA
Source: RNAcentral